This 253-nucleotide ribosomal RNA is filed under the name uncultured bacterium. RNAcentral describes it as "partial 16S ribosomal RNA". It matches the Rfam family "Bacterial small subunit ribosomal RNA", at positions 524 to 776 of the family's 1533-position model. The record is from RNAcentral.
UACGUAGGUGGCGAGCGUUAUCCGGAAUUACUGGGCGUAAAGCGCACGCAGGCGGUCAUGUAAGUCUGACGUGAAAGCUCCUGGCUUAACUGGGAGAGGUCGUUGGAAACUGGAUGGCUUGAGGCAAUGAGAGGGGUGCAGAAUUCCCGGUGUAGUGGUGGAAUGCGUAGAUAUCGGGGGGAAUACCAGUGGCGAAAGCGGCGCCCUAGCAUUGACCUGACGCUGAGGUGCGAAAGCGUGGGGAGCGAACGGG